RNAcentral lists this long non-coding RNA (1726 nucleotides) under Carassius auratus (goldfish). RNAcentral describes it as "lncRNA (ENSCARG00000047551.1)". Lineage: Eukaryota; Metazoa; Chordata; Actinopteri; Cypriniformes; Cyprinidae. The record is from RNAcentral.
CACAAAAAUAUCACACAAUCAACCCACAUAACUGUGGAGUAAGAAAAGCACUUCCAAAGCAGGAGAUGCAAGCUGUUUCUAAUCAGAGAUAUGGAGGCGGAGGCAGUCUCAUGUGCAGAGGAGGAAACUUUGGCUGAGGAGAGACAAAUGACAGUUUCAUGGUGUCAUAAGACUGGAAAUGUCCGAACAAAAGAAGCAUUCAGUGAGCCAAUUUUUCUUGCUUUUUUAUCAUACAUUAAGCUUUAUAUAGUGACAAGAUCUAACAUUGUGAUGUGUAAAUGCAAGCCUGUGAACAGAACAGGUUGGCCCUGUUGGCUGACAAUGGAGAGCCAAUGUAGCGUGCAAAUGAGAGGGUUUGUUGUGUUCAAAGGUGGGGUGUGUGUGAGUGAAAGUGACUCUUUACUGGUGCACUUUGUCCAGCGGUGCUUUAAUGCAGGCAUGUUUAACAUGGGCCGCAGCCAAACAAUUCAGCUCUGUUGUGUAACACUGGGAGACGGGGGGCAUUCGCUUCAGGAAGAUCCAGUUGAGAGUUGUUAGCAGAGCAGGCUUGAAAAAAAAGGCCUUUCAUCUUCAAAGGCUUAUGAUUUGUUAAAUCUCAUUAAUUGGGGUUGAUUUUGAGAGUAUGUACUGUAGUGUUCUGCAGUGUUGGUGGAUAACCAAAAUAGAAAAUCUGUUUCCAAGAAAACGAACAAUUUGAGCCCAAAACCUCACAUAAUGGAUAACUCUAUCCCAAUGAUUAUGAUGUCAUUGCGUAUAAUAUACAGUGGACUCUUAAACUACACUUAAACAGGAUUAAUGCCAAUGCUUUAGAUGAAAUAUCAGACGCAAAUGCUGCUUUUUUCCAUUUUUACUUGAUGUCUUUUAAUUUAAUGGUGUGUUGGUGUAUUUUGUCUUCAUUUUGGGCAGUGUGAUGUUAUAGUAGAUGUGUUUUUGUGCCAUCAGUUUCUAAAAUAUAGGUCACUUCUUUUGAGGUAUGUUGAAUUAAUUGAAUUUGAUGCUACUUCCUUUAUUCAUUCUCUUGUUAAUAUCCAUUUCCUUUUUACCACUUGGUUAACAAACCAACUACCAUUCAAGACUGCAUAAGACUUCACUGGUUUAAAUAUUUAUUUAUUAUAUAAAGCCAUAAAGUCAAGAGGUAAAAUAGCUAUAGAAUAGUAAAGUAAGAUAUAAAAACCUGACAUAAGUUUAGCAUACUAAAACGUGAUCUUUUUAGUACAUUUGUUCCUAUAUCAAUAGCAAAUAAAGUAUAAAUCUAUUUACAAACCAUACAGAUAAAAGAAUCUCAGAGAAAAGGAGUACAAAAUCCAACGGAGGUGAAGAAUAUUAGGAAAGUAGAACACGCGAAACAUAUAUAACAGUUCUGCCAUUUCAACAGUUGGUGUAAAAGCAAAAUGCGCUCCUGUUUAGUUGUUUCCUUUGCGUAAAAUGUACACCGUGUUCUAGCCAGUCACAAAAUGACAAGUAUCAGGAGUCAACGAUGUUCUCGACACUAAUAGCGACAUAUUUGACGAUGUUUAAUGUGCAGCCGGAUUUUGGACCAAUGAGAUUUCAUUGUGGGCGGGGCUUCCCAGCACAAUGCUGCAGCAACCAAGUGACUGACAAAAUAUUCUGUGGCUGGCUAGGACAAACACAUCCACGUGGGAAGAGCCUUUGUCACUUUAUUGCAACAUGCCUGGUUAGGAUAUGUUGUUAGCAAGAGAAAAGCAGUACCAAAGAAACAGGAAGG